AUUGAACGCUGGCGGCAUGCCUUACACAUGCAAGUCGAACGGCAGCACGGGUUCUUGCACCUGGGGGCGAGUGGCGAACGGGUGAGUAAUACAUCGGAACAUGUCCUGUAGUGGGGGAUAGCCCGGCGAAAGCCGGAUUAAGACCGCAUACGAUCGACGGAUGAAAGCGGGGGACCUUCGGGCCUCGCGCGAUAGGGUUGGCCGAUGGCUGAUUAGCUAGUUGGUGGGGUAAAGGCCUACCAAGGCGACGAUCAGUAGCUGGUCUGAGAGGACGACCAGCCACACUGGGACUGAGACACGGCCCAGACUCCUACGGGAGGCAGCAGUGGGGAAUUUUGGACAAUGGGCGAAAGCCUGAUCCAGCAAUGCCGCGUGUGUGAAGAAGGCCUUCGGGUUGUAAAGCACUUUUGUCCGGAAAGAAAUCCUUGGCCCUAAUACGGUCGGGGGAUGACGGUACCGGAAGAAUAAGCACCGGCUAACUACGUG
This 486-nucleotide ribosomal RNA is filed under the name uncultured bacterium. RNAcentral's name for it is "partial 16S ribosomal RNA". It matches the Rfam family "Bacterial small subunit ribosomal RNA", at positions 29 to 507 of the family's 1533-position model. The record is from RNAcentral.